Molecule: small nucleolar RNA, 129 nt
Filed under: Callorhinchus milii (elephant shark)
Lineage: Eukaryota; Metazoa; Chordata; Chondrichthyes; Chimaeriformes; Callorhinchidae
Description: Small nucleolar RNA SNORA38 (ENSCMIG00000008661.1)
Source: RNAcentral
UCCUCCCACAAAGGCACGCUUGUAUUGUUUUGCUUGCACGCGUGUAAGAAAUGGAGGUAUAUUAAGUGAAUAUGUAAUUUUGCAAUGAACUGUUUCAAUGAAUGGUUCACCGAGUACUCAUUCAUACAU